This 434-nucleotide ribosomal RNA is filed under the name uncultured bacterium. RNAcentral describes it as "partial 16S ribosomal RNA". It matches the Rfam family "Bacterial small subunit ribosomal RNA", at positions 341 to 792 of the family's 1533-position model. The record is from RNAcentral.
ACGGAAGGCAGCAGUGGGGAAUAUUGCACAAUGGGGGAAACCCUGAUGCAGCGACGCCGCGUGAGUGAAGAAGUAUCUCGGUAUGUAAAGCUCUAUCAGCAGGGAAGAAAAUGACGGUACCUGACUAAGAAGCCCCGGCUAAAUACGUGCCAGCAGCCGCGGUAAUACGUAUGGAACAAGCGUUAUCCGGAUUUACUGGGUGUAAAGGGUGUGUAGGCGGUAAGGUAAGUCAGAAGUGAAAUGCCGGGGCUCAACUCCGGAGCUGCUUUUGAAACUGCAUUACUUGAGUCCAGGAGAGGCAGGCGGAAUUCCUAGUGUAGCGGUGAAAUGCGUAGAUAUUAGGAAGAACACCAGUGGCGAAGGCGGCCUGCUGGACUGGAACUGACGCUGAGGCACGAAAGCGUGGGGAGCAAACAGGAUUAGAUACCCUGGUA